Long non-coding RNA from Athalia rosae (coleseed sawfly), 1057 nucleotides. RefSeq lists it as uncharacterized. The record is from RefSeq and is a predicted model, not a curated record. NCBI's taxonomy places the organism in Eukaryota, Metazoa, Arthropoda, Insecta, Hymenoptera, Athaliidae. The transcript has 2 exons.
AUUAGAAUGUAAGUAAUUAACGUUUUAUACGCCACUGCAGUUCGAUACUACUUCGCGAAUCGUUCACUCGCGUUGUAAAGUACACACGUGUAUAUAACACGGGCAAUCAUUGCGGUAUACACGCGGUACAUAAUUCUGUAUACAACCGCCACUUUGCUGUUUGCCUUUGCAAAGAAUAAACAUAUAUAUACUAGGUGACGAUUGACGCGACUUCUUUAUUUCUUUUUUUUGGUUUUUCCCACCAAAUUCUGAUCCUUGAAAGUACAUCGAUUCGCAGGUGUAAACACGUGUUCGUCAAUUUUUUAAAUCAGAUCUCCAGCUCUGAUAGAUCGUUGAGGACAUAAGUGUGAUCCGCGACCCUCGAUCUUAUUUCAUUUAGAUUCGAUUGGUUUCCUUCUCUUUUUCGAUAGAUAUCGCGAUCGGGGACUCGAUUGUAUGUGACAUGAAGUAUAUGUACUACUUGUUCCAUGUGAUGUGAGGUGUAUAUAAGAAAAACCCCCACAACGUUGUAUUAUACCUCGGCAGAUAAAUGAUAACGCGCCGUUAGACCGUGAUAACGGGAAGAUUAUAGGUAUGUUAUACGUUCGAAUAUAAUUCCAUCACAUCUUUUAUCUGUUGUACGUCUGUAAUGUUUGUUUGAAAAGUUAAUAGGUAUAAUGCACUCUUCAAUUUCUGCGUUACGGCGUCUAUACGGCGGUAGUACGUCAGAGUUACUGCAUCGACCGCGACUGUUCCCCGCACAUACAUACAUAUAUCUGCCGAACAAUGUCUGAUUGUAAACGAAAAGACACCGCAGAAAAUGACAAAUUAUUUAUUUAUUCAUUUCGUUCAUGCAACGCCAAAAAUAUAACGCUUCAGUCGCUAUAUAUAUAUAUUUCGCGGAUUUGUCUUCUUUAUCGUUGGAUUUUUUUUUCUUCCGAUGAUUAUGCAUGUAUUGGAAGGUACGCAGAUCGUAGCCGCGCGGUAUAUGUAUGUAUACAUGUACGUAUGCGCGAAGAAUUAUAAAUUCAUGUGUAUGUAAUUAACCGAGGGGCAGAUAAUAUUACGUUAUCUCGUA